CAGNGUGGGCACGGCCCCGAGUGCCGGAGUUCAGGGUGCGUUUGGACAGUGCUCUCAAACACUGGGUUUGAAUUUGGAGUGGCACAUAUUGCCAUCUCUUAGGUUAUCUCUGGGAAGAUCUACCUGGAGAAUGAAAAAAAGGUAACAUCAGGAUUCUGGAAAAUGCAGUAGAGCUGGUGUUAUGAUAGAACAAUGAAUGACAUGAAACGGAGAAUCAGUUGUCCCUACACAAUAGAACAGGUCACUUCUCAGAGACACCAAUAAGCCAUGUCUUCUGCAUCUCCAAGAAGUCCAUCUCUACUUGGACUUUAGGUCCUAUGUCUUCCUAUCACUCCACAGUGCACAAUGAGAGAGAAGAGUGUCAUGAAGCAGUAGAGACUGAUACAACACAGAAAAUCAGUUUUCAGGAAGAGAGAUGGAGAGGCCAGUAACUAAGCCUGAGUACGAGCUCUAAGCCAGCGGUCAUGGCAUAGUUUGUUUACUCACCUUGCAGUGGAGCUCUGUGAACAAACUCAAGCACAGCUAUGAACAGGCAAAAUGCUCUGGGCAUCCCCUACUAAUUCCAUUAAUUGAAUCUUGGACAUUUCAAGCAUAUAUGAGUUUUGAGAUUUUCAUUCUAUGGAGUUACCUUACUAAAUU
This 639-nucleotide long non-coding RNA is filed under the name Pavo cristatus (Indian peafowl). Its description in RNAcentral is "lncRNA (ENSPSTG00000018315.1)". The record is from RNAcentral. Lineage: Eukaryota; Metazoa; Chordata; Aves; Galliformes; Phasianidae.